RNAcentral lists this ribosomal RNA (394 nucleotides) under uncultured bacterium. RNAcentral's name for it is "bacterial SSU rRNA". It matches the Rfam family "Bacterial small subunit ribosomal RNA", at positions 28 to 400 of the family's 1533-position model. The record is from RNAcentral.
GAUGAACGCUGGCGGCGUGCCUAACACAUGCAAGUCGAGCGUGAAUCUGAUGAGUGGAGACUUCGGUUGAAGCGAGUUGGAGGAAAGCGGCGGACGGGUGAGUAACGCGUGGGCAACCUGCCCCAUACAGCCGGAUAGCCACUGGAAACGGUGAUUAAUACGGCAUAAGACCACGAUACCGCAUGGUAACGGGGUCAAAGAUUUAUCGGUAUGGGAUGGGCCCGCGUCUGAUUAGCUAGUUGGUGAGGUAACGGCUCACCAAGGCGACGAUCAGUAACCGGCCUGAGAGGGCGAACGGUCACACUGGAACUGAGACACGGUCCAGACUCCUACGGGAGGCAGCAGUGGGGAAGUAUUGCACAAUGGGCGGCAAGCCUGAUGCAGCAACGACCGC